Molecule: ribosomal RNA, 229 nt
Filed under: uncultured bacterium
Lineage: Bacteria
Description: partial 16S ribosomal RNA
Rfam family: Bacterial small subunit ribosomal RNA
Source: RNAcentral
UCCGUAGGCGGGCAAUUAAGUCAGAGGUGAAAUCCCACAGCUCAACUGUGGAACUGCCUUUGAUACUGGUUGUCUUGAGUUAUAGUGAAGUAGAUAGAAUAUGUAGUGUAGCGGUGAAAUGCAUAGAUAUUACAUAGAAUACCGAUUGCGAAGGCAGUCUACUAACUGUACACUGACGCUAAUGGACGAAAGCGAGGGGAGCGAACAGGAUUAGAUACCCUGGUAGUCC